GCCGCUGCCMGGCCCCCCUGGCGCCUCUCACUCCACCUCUAACCCCUGGUCCCUCAAAGGAGUAGAGGCUCUGGCGCUGGUGGACCCUGCCGCUAGGAGAACCGUGGGGGUGGCCUGGAUGGCGUCUUUUCUACUCGACAGCCAUUCAUGAACUAGACUGGGAUCCAGCCCCCAGCUGACUCAUGGCUAGGGUGGGACCAUCUCCUGAAAACCAGCCACUGAGACAAGCGCUCUUUAGGUGGAGUCUUGUUUACCACGAAGACUUCCAUGCCCCCUGGUGGUCAUAAAAGGAAAAGGAGAGCAACCUUGUCUUUCUUGUUCACUGAUGUGGAAUCUGACCUGAACAGAGGACCAAGACGUACUAGACACUCAGUAAAUGUUUACUAAACUUAUUAAAUGAACCUUCUUAAAAUAUGGUUCUCACCUUUCCAUUGUGUUCUCAUUACCAAGAGAGAGUCCAUACUCUUCUUGGAAUCGCAUUCAAGG
This is a long non-coding RNA of Urocitellus parryii (Arctic ground squirrel), 486 nucleotides long. RefSeq lists it as uncharacterized. Lineage: Eukaryota; Metazoa; Chordata; Mammalia; Rodentia; Sciuridae. The record is from RefSeq and is a predicted model, not a curated record.